This 254-nucleotide ribosomal RNA is filed under the name uncultured bacterium. Its description in RNAcentral is "partial 16S ribosomal RNA". It matches the Rfam family "Bacterial small subunit ribosomal RNA", at positions 524 to 776 of the family's 1533-position model. The record is from RNAcentral.
UACGAAGGGUGCAAGCGUUACUCGGAAUUACUGGGCGUAAAGCGUGCGUAGGUGGUUUGUUAAGUCUGUUGUGAAAGCCCCGGGCUCAACCUGGGAAUGGCAAUGGAUACUGGCAGGCUAGAGUGCGGUAGAGGGUAGUGGAAUUCCCGGUGUAGCGGUGAAAUGCGUAGAGAUCGGGAGGAACACCAGUGGCGAAGGCGGCUUUCUGGACGAUAACUGACGCUGAGACGCGAAAGCGUGGGGAGGCAAACAGG